UAGACUAUUUAAUGAUUCAAUGAUUCCAUUGGAAAGGGAAAUGCAGAAGAAAACAAUUACGUGGUUGCUGAAACACGUUUAACACGCCAUAAUAAUUUUGUGUUAUGAGUGCCUGUUCGCAUUUCAAGAUCUCAAUUAAUUUUAACUACUUGUGUUGGACUUCUGAUACUUUGCUACACGGAAUCUUAUGGAGAUGGGAAUGCAGGGACUCUAUAAAUACGUACCCAGUAAGCAUCGAUCCCUCCACCAUGGCUACCUUAUCAAAUUAAUUAUUAUCCCUUUGCUUGCAUUUGCCCUAACCCAUUUAUAUCAAUCAUGUUUUCUUAUAUAGUCUUGGCAGCUAGCUUCUUAAAAUGGGCAUGGAAUUUCUUGCUCCACUAUUCUUUCUUCUCCAGUCACCCUAGCCUGGACCUGCCUGAAACUCUGCAAGAACUGAGCCUGUGUUACUACGAUGAGCGCAACCCUCCGGGGCAAAACGACUCUUUGGAGGAAUGUGCUGUGUGUCUUUCCAGGUUUCAACAUGGAGAAGAGAUUAGAGAAUUGAGAUGCAACCAUGUCUUUCACAGAGCUUGCUUGGACUCCUGGCUCCUUUGCAAAUGUGCAAGGUGUCCCCUUUGCCGCGAUUUCAUUGCCCCGCGUAGGACUGUCACAGAGCCUGGACCGGAAGUAUUCGUGUUUAAGUAUUCUUCUUCUUUCUGUUCUAAUGACGACCGUCAGACAUGGUGGCUAAGAUGAAUAUGAAUUUCCAAAUAUAAUAAUUAAUGCAUGUCUCAGUGAUCUAAGCGCCUUAUCUUUGGAGUUGAAAGGUAGGGUGGGCGUCGAUCGCAAUCUGUCUGCCACAAAUAAAGAACAUUUAUAAUUUUUUUUUUAUUAAGUGUGUAGAAUAUUAGAGGAAAUUAUAAAAACGAAAAAAAUAUAUAGUUUUAAAUUUUUUGUAAUUAUAUUUCAUAUUAAAAAAUUACUAAUUAUCUUUUUGAACUCUU
This 983-nucleotide unclassified non-coding RNA is filed under the name Hevea brasiliensis (rubber tree). The record is from RNAcentral. Lineage: Eukaryota; Viridiplantae; Streptophyta; Magnoliopsida; Malpighiales; Euphorbiaceae.